GUGCCUGUAGCUCAGCUGGAUAGAGCACCGCCCUUCUAAGGCGGGUGUCAGGGGUUCGACUCCCUUCAGGCACACCA
RNAcentral lists this transfer RNA (77 nucleotides) under Acetoanaerobium sticklandii. RNAcentral's name for it is "tRNA-Arg (TCT) (tRNA-Arg-TCT-1-1, tRNA-Arg-TCT-1-2)". It matches the Rfam family "tRNA". Rfam says of the family: Transfer RNA (tRNA) molecules are approximately 80 nucleotides in length. Their secondary structure includes four short double-helical elements and three loops (D, anti-codon, and T loops). Further hydrogen bonds mediate the characteristic L-shaped molecular structure. tRNAs have two regions of fundamental functional importance: the anti-codon, which is responsible for specific mRNA codon recognition, and the 3' end, to which the tRNAs corresponding amino acid is attached (by aminoacyl-tRNA synthetases). tRNAs cope with the degeneracy of the genetic code in two manners: having more than one tRNA (with a specific anti-codon) for a particular amino acid; and 'wobble' base-pairing, i.e. permitting non-standard base-pairing at the 3rd anti-codon position. The record is from RNAcentral. RNAcentral also lists the same sequence under 1 other name. Lineage: Bacteria; Bacillati; Bacillota; Clostridia; Peptostreptococcales; Filifactoraceae.